This 329-nucleotide unclassified non-coding RNA is filed under the name Hevea brasiliensis (rubber tree). Lineage: Eukaryota; Viridiplantae; Streptophyta; Magnoliopsida; Malpighiales; Euphorbiaceae. The record is from RNAcentral.
GAGUGUCGAGAACGAGCCUAGCAUGGUCGACGGAGAUCUGAACGGUGUCAGCAAGGGUGGCAUAAUCAACACGGGGAUGGGAAACGAGUUUCUGCCUGAGUUGGAUGAGCGUUUGAGUCGGGUCAGGGAAGAUGAGCUUGGGGAUUGGGAGGAGACCAUGCUCGAAAGGCUCACGGCGAGGGUGGAUAAGGGAAUUGGGAUUGAGGUGCGGGUUUGGAUUGGGUUCGGCGGCCGACGUGGAUGGUGGCUCAGUAGAGUCCGUCAUGACUCAGAGAAAGGGAAAACGUUUUUUGAGAGAAAAAAAAAAAAUGAGAGCUUUCUGUUUUUGC